UGGGGAAUAUUGGACAAUGGGGGCAACCCUGAUCCAGCAAUGCCGCGUGUGUGAAGAAGGUUUUCGGAUUGUAAAGCACUUUCGACGGGGACGAUGAUGACGGUACCCGUAGAAGAAGCCCCGGCUAACUUCGUGCCAGCAGCCGCGGUAAUACGAAGGGGGCUAGCGUUGCUCGGAAUGACUGGGCGUAAAGGGCGUGUAGGCGGUUUGUACAGUCAGAUGUGAAAAUCCCCGGGCU
This 238-nucleotide ribosomal RNA is filed under the name uncultured bacterium. RNAcentral describes it as "partial 16S ribosomal RNA". It matches the Rfam family "Bacterial small subunit ribosomal RNA", at positions 355 to 610 of the family's 1533-position model. The record is from RNAcentral.